This 259-nucleotide long non-coding RNA is filed under the name Coffea arabica (coffee). RNAcentral's name for it is "long non-coding RNA (CARA_LNC006805)". The record is from RNAcentral. Lineage: Eukaryota; Viridiplantae; Streptophyta; Magnoliopsida; Gentianales; Rubiaceae.
UUAAGAAAGUUUUUGGGGUUAAAUUAUAAUUAUUAUAAAAAUUAGGAGUUAAAAGCAAAGAAAAAUAAAGUUCAGGGAUCAAAAUACAAUUAAAUUAAGGACCUAAUUGAAGGAAAUUCAAAAUUUGUAGGGCUACAAUGAAAUUUCUCAAAGGACUAAGGACUUAAUUGCAAAAUUGUCUUUUGGUUUCUUUAGACAAAAGGCCAUCGGGCCAUUUUUAUGUGAUUUCUUGGGCUGAAAUCCUCUUUGGCCCAAAGCA